GCGUCGUUAGCUCAAUUGGCAGAGCAGGGGCCUCUUAAGCCCAAGGUUCGGGGUUCGAUUCCCCGACGACGCACAA
Molecule: transfer RNA, 76 nt
Filed under: Caldithrix sp.
Lineage: Bacteria; Pseudomonadati; Calditrichota; Calditrichia; Calditrichales; Calditrichaceae
Description: tRNA-Lys
Rfam family: tRNA
About the family: Transfer RNA (tRNA) molecules are approximately 80 nucleotides in length. Their secondary structure includes four short double-helical elements and three loops (D, anti-codon, and T loops).
Source: RNAcentral